Molecule: ribosomal RNA, 759 nt
Filed under: Candolleomyces candolleanus
Lineage: Eukaryota; Fungi; Basidiomycota; Agaricomycetes; Agaricales; Psathyrellaceae
Description: LSU rRNA
Rfam family: Eukaryotic large subunit ribosomal RNA
Source: RNAcentral
CGGACCGUGUAUAAGUCUCCUGGAAUGGAGCGUCAUAGAGGGUGAGAAUCCCGUCUUUGACACGGACUACCGAGGCUUUGUGGUAUGCUCUCAAAGAGUCGAGUUGUUUGGGAAUGCAGCUCAAAAUGGGUGGUAAAUUCCAUCUAAAGCUAAAUAUUGGCGAGAGACCGAUAGCGAACAAGUACCGUGAGGGAAAGAUGAAAAGAACUUUGGAAAGAGAGUUAAACAGUACGUGAAAUUGCUGAAAGGGAAACGCUUGAAGUCAGUCGCGUUGGCCGGGAAUCAGCCUUGCUUUUGCUUGGUGUACUUUCUGGUUGACGGGCCAGCAUCAGUUUUGACCGGUGGAAAAAGUUCAGGGGAAUGUGGCAUCUUCGGGUGUGUUAUAGCCCUUGUUCGUAUACAUCGGUUGGGACUGAGGAACUCAGCACGCCGCAAGGCCGGGUCUUUGACCACGUUCGUGCUUAGGAUGCUGGCAUAAUGGCUUUAAUCGACCCGUCUUGAAACACGGACCAAGGAGUCUAACAUGCCUGCGAGUGUUUGGGUGGAAAACCCGAGCGCGUAAUGAAAGUGAAAGUUGAGAUCCUUGUCAUGGGGAGCAUCGACGCCCGGACCUGACGUUUUCUGACGGCCCUGCGGUAGAGCAUGUAUGUUGGGACCCGAAAGAUGGUGAACUAUGCCUGAAUAGGGUGAAGCCAGAGGAAACUCUGGUGGAGGCUCGUAGCGAUUCUGACGUGCAAAUCGAUCGUCAAUUUGGGUAUA